UGCAGCCUUGUCAAUUGCAGUGCUCUCUGCCUCAGUGAUGGGUACUGACCCCAAUAGCUGCCACAGAAGCACCUGUAGUUCAUGCCAUGUCCGUCUAGAGAUAGGAGAUAAAAAUCUCCUACAGACCCCC
This 130-nucleotide small nucleolar RNA is filed under the name Chelydra serpentina (North American snapping turtle). RNAcentral describes it as "Small nucleolar RNA SNORA5 (ENSCSRG00000004057.1)". It matches the Rfam family "Small nucleolar RNA SNORA5". From Rfam's summary of the family: ACA5 is a member of the H/ACA class of snoRNA that guide the sites of modification of uridines to pseudouridines. Lineage: Eukaryota; Metazoa; Chordata; Testudines; Chelydridae. The record is from Rfam by way of RNAcentral.